This 253-nucleotide ribosomal RNA is filed under the name uncultured bacterium. RNAcentral describes it as "partial 16S ribosomal RNA". It matches the Rfam family "Bacterial small subunit ribosomal RNA", at positions 524 to 776 of the family's 1533-position model. The record is from RNAcentral.
UACGUAGGGGGCAAGCGUUGUCCGGAAUCAUUGGGCGUAAAGAGCGUGUAGGCGGCUCGGUAAGUCCGCUGUGAAAGUCCAGGGCUCAACCCUGGAAUGCCGGUGGAAACUGUCGAGCUCGAGUCCGGAAGAGGCGAGUGGAAUUCCUGGUGUAGCGGUGAAAUGCGCAGAUAUCAGGAAGAACACCCGUGGCGAAGGCGGUUCUCUGGGACGGUACUGACGCUGAGACGCGAAAGCGUGGGGAGCGAACAGG